UAUUUAAAUAUAUUUAAUUAAUUUGAUUAUUUUUAAUUUAUAUUUUUUAUAAAAUUAUUUUAUGAAUUUAAAGUUUUAGUAUUAAGUAAAAAAUAAUUUUUAGUUUUAUAGUUUAAUAGUAUUGUAAAAGAAAUUUAUUUAUAUUAAUUAAAGAAUUUUGUUAGUACCUUUUGUAUCAGGGUUAAUUAAAAUUUUUAAUUUAUUUUAAUUUCUCGAAAUUUAUAGAGUUAAUUUUAUUAUUAAGUUAUUAUGGUAAAAAUAUUUAUAAAAUAAUUUUAGUUUUGAAAUUUAAUUCGUUAUAUUAUAUCUAGUUAUUUAAGAUUUAAAUUUAAUUUAAAAUUUUAAAAGUUAAUUUAAUUUUUUUUAUUAAUAUUUUAAAUUUAUAUUAUUUUAGGGAUGAGCUUGAAAUUUUUAUAUAAUAAAUAUUUGAAUUAAUAAUUUAUAGGAAUAGAAAUUUUUAUUUUAAGUUUGUAAAAAUUUGUUAUUUAUUUAAUUUUAAUUUAUUAUAAUUUAUUUAUUAUUUUUAUUAAAUUUUAUAAAUUAAUUUAUUAUUUAUAGUAAUAAUGAUUAAAUUAGUAUAAUAUUUAUUUAUGUAUUAUGAAUUAGGCAAAUUUUAUUUUUAUCUGUUUAACAAAAACAUUGUAUUAAGUUUUAUUUAAUAUAGGAUCUGCUCAAUGAUUUAUUAAAUAGCUGCAGUAUUUUGACUGUGCAAAGGUAGCAUAAUAAUUAGUCUUUUAAUUGGGGACUUGUAUGAAAGAUUUGAUAAGAAAUAAUCUUUAUUAUAUAUAUAAUUAGAAUUUUAUUUUUAAGUAAAAAAGCUUAAAUAUUUUAAAGGGACGAUAAGACCCUAUAAAACUUUAUAUUUAAUAAUUUUUAAUUUUUUGGAUUUAUAUUUAUAUAUAAAUAUAUAUUUAGAUUUUAUUAAAUAUUUUAUUGGGGUGAUAAAAAAAAAUUAUAAACUUUUUUUAAAUUUUAACAUUAUUUAAUGAUAAUUUGAAUUAAAAUUUUUAAUUAAAGGAAAAAGUUACUUUAGGGAUAACAGCGUAAUUAAUUUUUUAAGUUCAAAUUUAAAAAUUAGU
RNAcentral lists this ribosomal RNA (1079 nucleotides) under Dermaphis sp. A MK-2017. RNAcentral describes it as "partial large subunit ribosomal RNA". Lineage: Eukaryota; Metazoa; Arthropoda; Insecta; Hemiptera; Hormaphididae. The record is from RNAcentral.